GGAUUCAUUUUGUUAAUCUACAACUCUUGCCUCAUAAUACAUCAUUACAACAAAAUAAUCAUUUAUCGAGCAUUAGUAUGUUGAUAAUCAAGAAAAUAUUGCUAAUGAUAAUUACUGACGAAUAGAAGAGAUACUUUCAUUAAAUAUUGCUAUUAAGAAUCCUAACCCUCGUCUUGUGCUUGACAUUCCAUUUUGAUCAUGGACAUGGGUGUUGGUCCGAAGUAAUAGGUUUGUGUCUUUAACUCAUAAAUCAAACACAAUUAAAAUCAGAAAAUAACAAGAUCUAAACACAAGAUUUUUCAGCCCAAAGGCCCCGAGGUUCGGCGACCGCUUCCAACACCGAAUCCUAUUGAGCAUCCAUUAAGAUUAAGCUCGAAUCCACUAUAAAUCGCCACAAUAGUAGGCAAAAGUUUCGUUACAGAACACUUAGUUCUAACUCCCUCAAACAUACAAGAUUUUCUCACAAUAAUCUAGAACUCACACAAGAGUUCAUCACAAGAAUAUUUUCUCUCAUAAAAUCACAAAGAAAUCAUAGAAGUGUAAGACUUUUAGAGAAAAUGAAAAACAAAAUGAGAGAGAAGCUGCUGGAAUGAUAUUCACCUUUGACGACCCUGGAUAUUUUUGCUUUUAUGAGAGAGAGAGAGAGAGUCUUGCAUUUGAUCCAAUGGUCCAUGCCUUGUCACUUGUCAAUAAUCCAGUGAAAGUGCCUUUUUAAGUCAACAAACACGUUUUGUUAAAACCGAUUUCCUUAAUUCCAGAUUCUUCCACUUACUAGGUCACCAUAUCGAGCUACAAACAAUUUGGGCCAGAAGACAAAAAACACGUCCGUGCCUCACAAAAAUUCUGCAAACCAUCUUCUACAAUCUCUACCUUUUGCUGCAUUUUGUGACGAUUUAUAAGUGAAUUCAAAACUUAGUCUAUACUUUAUUUGCUCUCAUCACCUGUACAAAAACACAAAGUUAUUAUGCUUCAAGAUUAAUCAAUCUUAAAGAAUCGGUAAACUUACUAAUAAGGAUUACCUUGGUUCCAGCAUCUGCAGGAUUUACCUUAGUAGAAAUUUUGAUCAAUUUAAUAUCACCCCUAUCAAUUAUAUCUCUAAUAAAAUGGAACUUUACAUCUAUGUGCUUGGAUCUAUCGUGCAAAAUAUGGUUUUUACUUAAGAAAAUUGCAUUUUGGUUGUCAGAACACAGCUCCACUUGAUUUUCUAUAAGACCUAAUUCAUCAAGUAAACCCUUCAAUCAUAAUCCCUCCUUCACUGCUUCAGUUGUAGCAAUGUAUUCAGCCUCAAUUGAAGACAAAGCAACCAAUUUUUGAAGUUGGGAUUUCCAGCUAAUGAUAUUUGAAUCCACAUAACCUUUUAAUGUAAGUCCAUUUUUAUUAGUUUUGAACAUUAGACCUAAUUGACUUGUUCCUUUCAGAUAUUUAAUCAAUUCUUUUAUGCAUUGCCAAUGCAAUUAACCUGGGUUACUCAUAAAUCUGCUUAUCACACUCACACAUAAGCAAUAUCAGGUCUAGAGUAUAUCAUAACAUACAUUACAGAUCCAACAACAUUAGAAUAAGGGACAUUCAUCAUUCAUCUAUAUUCAUCUUCAGUUUUAGGUAAUUGAUCAGCAUAUAAUUUCAUACUGGUAGAUAAAGGCAGGCUAACAGGCUUAGUAUCAUGAAGGGAAAAUCUUUUAAUUACCUUAUCAACAUAAGAUUUUUGUGUUAGAAACAAAUUUCCAUUAUUCUAUCCCUUUUUAUUUCCAUGCCCAAAAUUUUUCUGGCUAGUCCUAAAUCUUUCAUUUCGAAUUCUGAUUUCAACUUUUCUUUAAUUGAAUUUAGUGCAACAGAAUUAUGACCAACAAGGAGCAUAUCAUCAACAUACAAGAGAAGAUAGAAAAAUUCAGAUUCACCAUCUCUUUUUUAGUAAAAACAGGGAUCAUAUUCUGAUUUUUUAAAAUUCAAACCUUGUAUAAAAGAGUCAAAUCUUUUAUACCACUUUCCAGGAGCCUGUUUUAGGCCAUACAAAGAUUUUUUCAAGAGACACACUAAGUUCCCCUUUCCUUUUACUUCAAACCUUCUUGGUUGAGUCAUAUGUAUGGUUUCAUCUAAAAAACCAUACAAGAAGGCAUUUUUCAUGUAAAGUUGUUCUAACUCUAAGUCAAAUUGUGUCACUAUGGCAAGUAGGACUCUAAUAGAUGUAUAUUUAACUACGAGUGAAAAAAUUUCAGUAUAGUCUAUACCUUCUCUUUCAUUGAAAUCUUUAGCUACAAGUCUUGUCUUAUACCUUUUAUCAUUUGUCUUUAUCUCACAUUUUUUGAUCUUAUAUACCCAUUUACAAUCAAUCAAUUUACAAUCUUUGGGUUUCUCAACUAAGAUCUAGGUUUUAUUCUUAUGUAGGGAGUUCAUCUCAUCUUCCAUUGCAGCAAUCCACUUAAGGGAUUCUUUGGGAAAAAAUAGCCUCUUCAUAAGAGGUAGGUUCUAUGUCAAACAAAUUGGGUUCAAAGUGGGCAGACACAAAAUCAGCGCACUGAUACCUGGAAAGAGGUCUUAUUUGCCUCAUUUCUCUGUCCCUAGCAAGCUGUAGUCCUGCAAGUCAUUUGCAGGCUCCAGAUGCUGAUCCUUUUCAAGAAUUUCAUCAUCUAUAAUGAUCUGUGAUUCUACCUGAUGUGGAUCCACCUCAAACUGAGUGUAGUCAUUUAAAAUCUCCCUAUUCAGAUUUAUUUCAGUGAUAAUAAACUCAUCAUUUCCUAAUUUUUCUAUGUCACUAAGAUAAGGAAAGUCAUCUUCAUUAAAGAUAACAGAUCUACUUAUUAUCACCUUGUACCUUCUCAUAUCUCUUAACCACAGUUUAUAGCCUUUAACUCCUUCUCCAUAUCCUAAGAACACACCCUUCAAUGAUCUAGGGUCCAGUUUUGAUUCUGUAUGAUGUGCAUAUGUAGCACAUCUAAAGGUUCUAAGAUAGGAGUAGUCUGGGAAUGUACCAGACCAGAUUUGCUUAGGAAUUUUAUUGUUUAGAGAGCUUGAAGGACAUCUAUUUAUUAGAUAACAGAAAAUUUUUACUAUCUCACCCCAAAAGAUUUUUGGAAGGCCAUAGCCGAUCAACAUACAUCUUGUCCUCUCAAGAAUAGUUCUAUUUAAUCUCUCAGCAACCCUAUUUUGCUGAGGAGAAUAGCUAAUUGUUUUAUGUCUCAUAAUCCAUUGUUUAUUACAAUAUUGGUCAAAUUCUGAAUUAUAGAAUUCAAGCCCAUUGUAGUUCUUAAUAUUUUUAUCUUCUUACCAGUCUGAUUUUCAAUUAAUACAUUCUAAUAUUUAAAAGUUGCAAAAGUAUCAGACUUAGAUUUUAAUAAGAAAAUCCAUAUUUUCUUUGAGUAAUCAUCAAUGGUGAGAAGAUAAUAUUUGUAACCAGAUACUAUAGGAACAAGUACAGGUCUCUAUAAAUUAGAAUGUAUAUAUUCAAGGACAUUUUGGGACUUAUACAGUCCUGCUUUAAAGGGCAAUCUGACUUGUUUUCCAAUUAUACAAUGUUCACAAAAAGUUAAUUUUUUAACACUAUCAUUCCCAAAUGCCCCUUGAUAUGAUAGAGUUUUUAAAACUUUUUCACUUAAAUGGCCAAGCUUUUUAUUCCAUAAUUCUGAUUUAUCAGAAUGUGUGAUAAAUUUCGCAGCAUUAUUAGGUAAAAUGAUUUCAGCACCUAUUACAUAAAUUCCAUUGAGCUUAGGUGAACUGACAGUAAGUUCUUGAUUUUCUUGUUAUAUUUAUAGAACCAUUCUUAAUUCCAAUUUAGUAAUUUUCAUCAUCAAGAACUCCCAGAGAUAUGAGGUUUCUUCUAAGUGCUGGCACAUAUCUAGUGUGUUUCAACAACAUGUGAUGGCCAUUUUUAAAUUUCGGCAACACAUUGCCAACUCCCUUCACUUGACAUGACUCAUCAUUCCCAAGUUUUACAAAUCCUCCAUCAAGACUAGAAUAGUAAAAAAAACAGCAAAUAUUGGGUGUCAUAUAAAAAGAACAACCUGAAUCUAGGACCCAGUCCUGAUCAGUACUUUCAGAUAAAGACACAUAGGCAACUCCAAAGUUAGCUCCUGCUUCUUUGUAAUUAGCAACAAUGGCUAAAGAAACAUUUUCAGUAUUAGACCCAUUCUUUUGGUCAUUAGCCUUUGUAAAACAAUCUUUAAGAUAGUGCCCUGUUCUUCCACAAUAAAAGCAUUUUCUUUAUUGUUAUUGUUUGCCUUUCCUUUAUUUGGUUUCUUAUCUUUUCCUUUGGUGUUACUCCAUUUCCUUUUGAUAAAAUUCUUAUUCUUGUUAAAAUUGGAAUGACCGAAGUUACUCACACCUUUCAUAUGUGGUUUUUGAUUUGAUGACACACCCUCAACAUGAAACACCUCUUUGUGUUCAUAUUUCAAUUCCAAUUCUCUGUUCAAUAGAGAACUGUGAAUUAUUUCAACAGUUAGGUCACUUCUAUCAUACUCUAGAGCAUUUCUUAUGUCUUUAUAUUUCUCUCCUAGAGUAUUAAGCAGACCAACUACCUUCUGUUUAUAAGAAAUUUUCUCACCACAGUUUAUUAAGUCUUAUGUGAUCCUAUUGAAUUUAUCUAUAUUAUCUUCGGUAUCAAGGUUAGUAUCAAACUUAAAUCUAAAGAACGGUCUCCAAAGAAAAUAUUUAUUUGGUACAGUCUUAUUAAGAUAGCGUUUUUCUAAGGCAGUCCACAAUUCUACAGUCGUUUUGGUUUCUCCUACUUUUCUAAUUACAGAAUCGGAUAAGUGAAGGAACAUUGUACUCCUGGCCAAUUCAUCUUAUUCAGUUUUCCUAUUUUCAACUAGGGUUUCUGGCCAAGAAUCAUCAAUGGCCUUGGCACAUUUCAACUAUAACAUGAGGGCUUUAAUUGUGUGGCGCUAGAGACUGAAGCCUCCUUUGCCAUCCUAAACUUGGACAUUUACCUUAGAGGUCAUGGUGUGCAGUAGUGUGAAAAUGUUCACAAGUAUGAUAUAACCAAAUAUAUCACAGUAAUAAUUCAGCCAACAAUAUAUCACAAUGAUCAAUGUCAAAUUAUUCCAAAUUUACAAUUUAUUUAUAUAUACAAGGAUAAGUCACAGAUUAAUAGGCAGAAUAGAGCUAUUUAAAUAGUUAUGCUCACACGCAGUAAGCUGUAGGGGAUAAUACAGUGUGUACCUUCACUGAAGAACAAUUUCACACAACGGUAAUUUUAACCCCCGAGUAACCAAGUUUGAGUAUCAGUAUAGAUCAAGAAUAUAUACAGCAGUUCAGAAACAAAAAUUUUGAUUUACAAAAAAAUAAUAUUCACACAGUAACAGAAAACGUAUUUAAAAAAAAAAACUUUUGAGAAAUAAGUUUCUCGAAUCGAAGCCCUAAUCCUCUAAAAUUGUAGGGUUCUCUUAGGGAUCCCUAGACAGAGGCAGAUUUAGGGAAGAUUCACAGGAACCCUAAUUUUUUUUUAUUUUUUUAAAAACGCUUUGUUACCAAAAUCUCACAAGAACUGCAAAUAUUUCAAUAAGAUACUCAAAAACACCAAGAAACCAUCUCGUGUUUAGAAUUUUUUUUUUCAAAAAAAGGAAGGCAAAAGGACAGAUAUGCUCGAAUCUGUAAUUUUCUUCGAACAACUUGAAUAAAAAGAAUUUCACAAAAAAAUCGAUAUGGCAAAAGAACAGAUCUACUCAGAUCUAUAGUAUUUUCCGAACACAGAGACUCAACCACGCUUGAAUCAAAAAAUUUCCAAAGCUUUGAUACCACUAUCGGUCCUAAAUAAUAUGUUUGUGCCUUUAACUCGUAAAUCAAAUGCAGUUAAAAUGAGAAAAUAAUAACACAACACAAGAUUUUUCGACCCAAAAGCCCCUAGGUUCGACGAUUGCUUCCAACGCCUAAUCCCCGUUGAGCAUCCAUUAGGAUUAAGCUCGAAUUCACUAUAAAUCGCCACAAAAAUAGGUAAAAGUUUCGUUACAGAACACUUAGUUCUAACUCUCUCAAAAAUACAAGAUCUUCUCACAAUAACCCAGAACUCACACAAGAGUUCAUCACAAGAAUAUUUUCUCUCAUGAAAUCACAAAGAAAUCGUAGAAGUAUAAGAGUUUUAGAGAAGAUGAAAAACAAAAUGAGAGAGAAGUUGCUGGAAUGAUAUUCACCUG
This 6122-nucleotide long non-coding RNA is filed under the name Olea europaea subsp. europaea. The record is from RNAcentral. Lineage: Eukaryota; Viridiplantae; Streptophyta; Magnoliopsida; Lamiales; Oleaceae.